CCUACGGGAGGCAGCAGUGGGGAAUCUUGGACAAUGGGCGCAAGCCUGAUCCAGCCAUGCCGCGUGAGUGAAGAAGGCCUUCGGGUUGUAAAGCUCUUUUGUCAGGGACGAUAAUGACGGUACCUGAAGAAUAAGCCCCGGCAAACUUCGUGCCAGCAGCCGCGGUAAUACGAAGGGGGCUAGCGUUGUUCGGAAUUACUGGGCGUAAAGCGCACGUAGGCGGACAUUUAAGUCAGGGGUGAAAUCCCGAGGCUCAACCUCGGAACUGCCCUUGAUACUGGGUGUCUCGAGUCCGGAAGAGGUUAGUGGAAUUCCCAGUGUAGAGGUGAAAUUCGUAGAUAUUGGGAAGAACACCAGUGGCGAAGGCGGCUAACUGGUCCGGUACUGACGCUGAGGUGCGAAAGCGUGGGGAGCAAACAGGCUUAGAUACCCCAGUAGUC
This 440-nucleotide ribosomal RNA is filed under the name uncultured Hyphomicrobiales bacterium. RNAcentral's name for it is "bacterial SSU rRNA". It matches the Rfam family "Bacterial small subunit ribosomal RNA", at positions 338 to 795 of the family's 1533-position model. The record is from RNAcentral. Lineage: Bacteria; Pseudomonadati; Pseudomonadota; Alphaproteobacteria; Hyphomicrobiales.